UACAGAGGUCUCAAGCGUUGUUCGGAUUCAUUGGGCGUAAAGGGUGUGUAGGUGGCGCCGUAAGUCGGGUGUGAAAUUUCGGAGCUUAACUCCGAAACUGCAUUCGAUACUGCGGUGCUUGAGGACUGGAGAGGAGACUGGAAUUCAUGGUGUAGCAGUGAAAUGCGUAGAGAUCAUGAGGAAGACCAGUGGCGAAGGCGGGUCUCUGGACAGUGCUUGACACUGAGACACGAAGGCCAGGGGAGCAAACGGG
Molecule: ribosomal RNA, 253 nt
Filed under: uncultured bacterium
Lineage: Bacteria
Description: partial 16S ribosomal RNA
Rfam family: Bacterial small subunit ribosomal RNA
Source: RNAcentral